Long non-coding RNA from Gorilla gorilla gorilla (western lowland gorilla), 4951 nucleotides. RefSeq lists it as uncharacterized. The transcript has 3 exons. Lineage: Eukaryota; Metazoa; Chordata; Mammalia; Primates; Hominidae. The record is from RefSeq and is a predicted model, not a curated record.
UGGACAGGUGACGCGUGCCUACCCGGGGUGGGUGGCCGUUCGGGGACGGGGCGUGCCCGGCCGCUCAGGUGAGGCCCGCCUCGCGCGGACAGGUGGGGACGGGGGCCACGCGCGGCGUCCUGCUAGAGGGGAGGUGUUCACGCAGGGGUUAGCCUUGAGAAAAUAGAAAUGAAAAUUCAUGGAAAUAAACACUCCUAUCUGGUGGUUAGAGUUAUCACCCAUUUACCUUUCUUAACCGCCUAAUGUAGUGGAUGGUUUUUCCCCCACAAAUGCUUAGAAAUUGCCCCUCACCCCCAAGUCCCCAAAGGGAGUUUAAAACGGUAGAAACAAGUGUGUGAUCAGAGACACGUGGACCUGUGUGUGUAUUUAAAGCUACCAACACUCGUUUUAAAAAAACCACAUUGGCUUAAGCCAGACUCAAGUGAAUUUGGAGAACCUAGCUUGGUUCCUGAAGGGUGAGAUGUGAAGGAGCCACUGGUUUUGUGAUGAACCUUAAAAGGUAGCAGUGACAGUUCUCCUUGGAGAAUGCAGUGAUGUCAACACUCGAUAAGGGCGGUGAUCCCACCCCGGUGCACACACCACUACCGUAUUUUGUUUCAAGCUCGGACAUUUUCACGUGUUCCACGUUUUCACUGCUUCACUCCUUCCCCAGAUUUCCUGACAUCGCUGCCUCACGGUGAACGAUUAAGAAAUAGUAGCUCUAUAAUUUAGAUUUUCAAGAGCAAAAACACCAUUUUUUUAGAGUUUGUUUUUCUUCUUAUAUCUGUGAUUCAUAAUUUUUGCCACAAAAUAGCCAGCAAAGAACAAACUAAAUGUCCCAUUUUGGAAGCAGGAGGGACGGUUAUUUCUCCAGAAGACAAAUAAAUAAAUUUAAAAAUCAACUGUAGUUGGAAGGCUGCUAGCUUGUCUUAGAAUAAUUAUAUUUGACAAAGAACUCUUUUCACUUAGGAUGUGGCUCUCAUAUCAUUUUCGAUGUCAUUAUCUGUACAGAAGGCCAGGAAAGAACAGUCCUGCCAUUUUGCAGAUUGAAGAGAGAUUUAAGGCAACUGUGUCUUCCACCCGUGCGCUCAGAGGUUGGGAUGGUGAGCGGAGACUUAAAUGAUUUUUCAGACUCCGUUCCUCAUUUGCAAAGUGUGGAUGACCCUGCUCAGCUCCCCUCACAGUGCUGGUGUGGGCAGAUAAUCAUUCAUUUGGCCAUUCAUGCAUUCUUUCCACCAAUGUUUACUGAACACCUGUUAUGUGCCCCACGCUGUAGUGAAUGGAGAGAGGGCUGCACCUGGUGGACCUAAUGUUCUGGGCAGGGGAGUGGAGGUGGUGUAGACAGAAAAUCAUAAAACUCUCAGGUAAGACGAUGGGAAGAGCAUGGAGAAAGGAAGGAGGGCAGGCAGGUGGCGGGCAGGGGAUGGGGCACUUGGGGGCUGGGACUAGAAGGGGCUGUCUGAGGAGGGGCCACAGUGGAGAACAGUGCUGUGAGGGAGCCUCUGGUGGAGGUGGGUGAGGUGGUGCCUGCCCCCACCAGGCAGAUGGUGGCAAAUGCAAAGGCUCUGGGGUGGGAUGAGCCCAGGAUGGGACAGGCCAGUGUGGCUGUGGAGGUGGGGCAGCAGGGGCCAUGCACCAGGCAGAGAUUUUAUUCUCACUGCCUCGUGGAUGCCAUUGAGGGGCUUUGAGCAGUGGCGGGGCAGAGUCUGCAUCUUUUGGCUGUGUGUGGGGAAUGGAGCUGGCAUCACUGGAAUCCAGGCCCUGCAUGAUUCCACUCCACAGAACUCGGAGGCAGAAGGGGAGAUGGGGCAGGACAGAGCCUAGUUCCAGAGCCAGGCAGGCCUGCUGCUGGUUUGGUUGGAAAUGCAUGGUGGGUGACUGGAGCUACUAUUUACUGAGGUGCAGGUGACCUGAGGCAUUCAGGGGCCCUGUAGAGCAGACAUCUUCAAACUCUCCCUCAGAGUGGGAGAAGACCCUGCCCCGGGGCCACAUCCGCUCCUCAAAAGGCUCCUCCUAAGGAAAGGUCCCUCCUCUUGCAGUCAUGGCCCUGGGGUGUGGGAACUGUGGGGUCCCAGCAGAUGUAAGGGUGUUGGGGAGUGGCUCCCCCGUGGGCCACAGGUCUGCAGCAGCUGCGGGAGCCUCUACACCAGUGGGGUUCAUGGUGAUCGUUGAUGACAAGUUGAUCUUUGAUGAAUUCCGGCUCAGAACUCAAGAGGAUGUGGCACUGGGGGACUCUGCUGUGACCAAGCCCCUUCUGCUCCCGUCUCCUUGUUUCUGGAACCAGCUUCUCUGUGCUCACAUUUCUAGAAAGAGGAAUAGGGACAGAGGCGAGCAUUUGUCCAUGCUAUGUGAACUGAUUAGGGGAAAAAAGCUCUUUCUCUUCUAUUAAACGCAGCUUUUAUAUUAGAUGAUGAUUUCUCAAAGCAGAGACUAUUUCUGUUUUGAUCAGUGGUGUUCCAAUUGUAGUCACACCAUGAAAAGGAGAUAUGGUUCAAUGGUGGACCGCAUAUACGAUGCUGGUCCUGUAAGAUGAUAGUACCGCAGUUUUUACGUUACCUUUUCUAUGUUUAGAUAAGCAAAUACUUACUAUUGUGUUACAGGUACCUACAGUAUUCUGUUAGUUAAGUGCUGUACACGUUUGUAGCCUAGGAGUCGUAGGCUGGGCCGUAUAGCCUAGGUGUGUAGUAGGCUAUACCAUCUAGGGUUGUGUAUGUACACUCUAUCAUGUUUGCACAACUACAAAAUCCCAUAGCAAUGCAUUUCUCAGAAUCCUGUCAUGAAGCAACACACGAGUGUACUGCGGUGAUGAUUCGGGAGACGUUAGCACAGCCUUAUGGUUGUAGGAAAUCAAGACGAAUUCAAUUUAUAUGCAUGUUUGUGUUGCAAAAAGUUACAGUAGGGUGAAUCAAUAGAGUAAUUUCAAGCAUGAAUAUAUAACGUUGGGUUUACAUUUUGUAGUAACAGAAAUAGGAGUUCCUAGAGGAAGAAGUGUAUACUUUCUGGCCUUAAGAAGAGCUUGUUCAUGUGCGUUGUAAAUAGAUGGCCAUGGCUGUCACGUCAUCGUGCCUAGAUUCUAAUAGAUGUAUUUACAAGAGUGACAUGGCAGUUUUAUUUUAACUCAGUAUUUACGGUAUGCUGGAAAUGAUGUCCCUUGCAGCUGUUUAAAACAGGGAUGAACAGUUUAUACUGUCAGCUGAGAUGCAGGGAGUAGGGUUUUAGGAAAUAUUUUCAUGGGGAUACUGGCAAAACUCAAAGAGCUUGGCUGCUCCUGGUUCCAGGCGUCAGGUGGAGCUGCCGUCCGGGGCCUGGCAGGGCGAGGGGCCGCCAGGAUGCCGGCUUGGGAGUUGGGGGUGGCAGGUAAGUGCUGCAUGUAGAGGGACGGAGGUCUAGGUAGCCAGCUUGGGGUACCCCCUGUGGAGGCUCUGGAGGGGAGGUGCAGACAGCAAAGGGACUUAGGAGGGAGCACGCAGUGAGAGGGACCCUCCAGGGCAGAAGGGAUUUCCAGAGGAGGCAGUAAGGAUGGCUUCGGGUGGAGAGGACCUGGGAUUGGGCCGGGGACCCUGCUGAAGCCACUCGUCCUACAUGAAUCCUACUCAGAGCAGGAGAAGCCAAGAUCAGCGAUCCUCCCGUCUUGGCCCCCCAAAGUGCUGGGAUUACAGGUGUCAGCCUGUCCUGGAGUCCUCCAAGCCCGUGGGGUCCGAUGAGCACAGACGGCUCAGCUCUUCCUUGCUUCCAUACCCUUACAUAAAACUGGAGCUCGGCGUUCUCAGAGAGGAUGCUUUUAUUUGCCUGAGAUGCACCAUCUGUUACUGGCUCCGUUUGACCGAUCUCCUUGUUCAUCGUGGUCCAGGUCUCCACCUGACCCCUCUGAGUGCUGACCUACCGCAAGCGUCAUCAGUAAACCUUGACUAAGUGAUGCGGCUCACGGCAAACUCAUUAGUCUUGCUUCGUCACCUAGGCUGGAGGGCAGUGGUGCGAUCUCCAUCUUGGCUCACUGCAACCUCGGCUCACUGCAACCUCUACCUCCUGGGUUCAAGCAGUCUUCCCACCUCAGCCUCCCGCGUAGCUAUGACUGCAGGCACGUGCCACCAUGCCUGGCUAAUUUUUGUGUUUUCCGUAGAGAUGGGGUUUCUCCGUGUUAGUCAAGGUGGUCUCAAAAUUCCUGGGCUUCAGCAGUCCUCCCACCUUGGCCCCCCAAAGUGCUGGGAUGACAGGUAUAAGCCACCGCGCCCAGCAGAGUUUCCAUUUUUAAGAUGGUAGAGGGCACACCUUUCUCUCCCUCUUAAAGAACCAGAUGUGAAAAUGAGAAAUAUAGAUGUCAUCUUUGAUGAAACUAAGAGGUUCAGAAAGUGAGAACGGAGAAGAAAUCAUAAACAGUACAAGAAAACGGUAGGGCUGAAGGGCAUGGUUGAAGGCCCAGUCAGUGCACAGCAUUAAAGCAGGUCACAGAAUUUCAGGUCACGGGAGCUAGAACAAAAAUUGCGAAAGAUUCUGGAGGUAGAGAGCUGCACAGAGGAGAUUUGCUGGCAGGAAAGAUACCAGAUGCAUCAGCCACGACGCUGGAAGCUGACGGACCAUGGAGUCCUUCCUUGGACAUUGGGCGUUCGGAGUGAAAGUGACCAGUGGCCGUGUACCCAGGCAGCCUAACAGCUGGAUCCAGUGGUUCCGCGUGCCCAGGAGUGUGCGUCUUGUGCUGUCUUUGGCCCUCACCGUCCCCCGACCUCCUGCACCACCGCCUCUGCCCCGCACAAUGGUAGCAAACAAAAUGUGUGCACAGCAUGUUGAAUGUUUCCGACACAAAGAGAUGAUACAUGUUUGAGAUGAUGGAUACGCUUAUUCCCCUGAUCUGAUCACUAUCCAUUAGAAGCAUCAGUUUGUACCCCAUAAAUAGGUACAAUUGAUUAUGUGUCAAAAGUAUAAAAAAUAAGGCCUAAGCAAAUAUAACAAAUCAAUUAAAGUUAUUGAUAAUGAA